This 1406-nucleotide long non-coding RNA is filed under the name Corvus moneduloides (New Caledonian crow). RNAcentral's name for it is "lncRNA (ENSCMUG00000017684.1)". Lineage: Eukaryota; Metazoa; Chordata; Aves; Passeriformes; Corvidae. The record is from RNAcentral.
GCUCCCAGCGUCCCAGAGCCUUGAAAGCACCAGGAUCUGGGACUCCGUGGGAAUACGCACUAUGGUGUGACUCUGGAGCUGUGAAGUGAAAUGAGCUAUACAGAAAGGACCCUGCAAGCUCUAAAAACCCCCAAAAGACAGAGGUGAGCUGGCAGUAAAAUUUGUGCAAUUAAAUCAGCAGAUAACCUAUGGUUUGUCAGAAGUUCAUGUACACUGAGACACAUCUCUAAAACAGCAAGAAAGAGACAUUUUUUCCACAGAAAACCACAUCAUUGAAAAAAUUCCUAGCACAUUUCAAAGCUGCAAUCAGUAACUGAGCAGAAAUCCAGCUUUAGGAUUGGAAAAGGGAUUUUGUUCUUUGUUGGUCCUUUAGUGGCUUACACAGCUCCAGUGCUGAGGACUGAAGGGAUUGCAGAUGACUCCCAAGAAUCUAAUGGUCCCAGUGAGACAGAGAGAAGAGAGAGGCAGGUAAUCUCUUUCCAUUAAGAGGAGCCUCUCAUUGGGAAAUAUAUCUUAUUUUAUCAGUUUUAGCUUCAGCUGAUCUUUUUUACCUCUUUUUGUUGAGACCCACUUCACUUUAUGGUAAACCUUCAAAACCCAUGUGGCAGAAUUUGUGCCCACCAGAACAAGAAGCGUCUAGCAAGAUGAGCUACGAGGGUGGUUAUACCCACAAGAAUGAAACAAUACUCAACACAUUUCCUCUUAUCAUGGAACUUACCAAAAGAUCACUUAAACUGAUGGCACUCCUUCUAUGGACUUCAACAAGCUUUGGAUCAGAUGAAUCCUGCACAGUAUCAACACCUGAGAUCUCAGUUCCUGUGACUUUUGUUGCUAUAACGCCUCCUAUCAUGUGCUUGCGUGUUCAUUGUGGCUGCUUGUCCUGCGUGGCCGCCGCCUCGCCGACUCCGACGUCUCGGCCGGGCCCCCGCGUUGUGGCUGCUCCGCGCUCUCCGACCGGCGCUGCUCCGGCGCGUGUCUGGGCUCUGCGCGGCCCCGCGUUGCCAUCGCUGCUGGCUCCGUGGCCUGUGAGUGGUUCCGCUCUGCAAACUCCACGCUGCUUUGAGUGCGGCCCCGUUCCGGCUCGGUGCUGCGCUGCGCGGCUUCUCGUGUCGCUGUGGAAACCGCUGCUUCUCCCUCCGCAGGGCUCUUCGAGCCAUGUGCUCAGAGCGGCCUGCCACGCCGAUGCCCGGUUCCUGGCUGCUCGUGGCCCACGGCACCCGCGGCGCCUGCGGCAUUGCUCCCUCACUCGCUGUCGCGUGGCCGGGGACCCCGAGACAGGGAUGGGGUCCGCGAUAAGGCGCGCGCUCCCGAGGGGGCCGGGCGCAUCCAGCACAGGCACCUCCGCCGGCACGGCUGCAGUCAUGUGCUCCCGGGAUGGCGGCCGCGCGGCCUCGGCCACAGGAUAA